This 1508-nucleotide ribosomal RNA is filed under the name Psychrobacter sp. KJF1-6. Its description in RNAcentral is "bacterial SSU rRNA". It matches the Rfam family "Bacterial small subunit ribosomal RNA". The record is from RNAcentral. Lineage: Bacteria; Pseudomonadati; Pseudomonadota; Gammaproteobacteria; Moraxellales; Moraxellaceae.
GAGUUUGAUCCUGGCUCAGAUUGAACGCUGGCGGCAGGCUUAACACAUGCAAGUCGAGCGGUAACAGGAGAAGCUUGCUUCUCGCUGACGAGCGGCGGACGGGUGAGUAAUACUUAGGAAUCUGCCCAGUAGUGGGGGAUAGCUCGGGGAAACUCGAAUUAAUACCGCAUACACCCUACGGGGAAAAGGGGGCUGCUUGCAGCUCUCGCUAUUGGAUGAGCCUAAGUCGGAUUAGCUAGUUGGUGGGGUAAAGGCCUACCAAGGCGACGAUCUGUAGCUGGUCUGAGAGGAUGAUCAGCCACACCGGAACUGAGACACGGUCCGGACUCCUACGGGAGGCAGCAGUGGGGAAUAUUGGACAAUGGGGGCAACCCUGAUCCAGCCAUGCCGCGUGUGUGAAGAAGGCCUUUUGGUUGUAAAGCACUUUAAGCUUGCGAAGACUCUAUGGUUAAUACCCAUAGACGAGAAUUAGCUGCAGAAUAAGCACCGGCUAACUCUGUGCCAGCAGCCGCGGUAAUACAGAGGGUGCAAGCGUUAAUCGGAUUACUGGGCGUAAAGCGAGCGUAGGUGGCUUGAUAAGUCAGAUGUGAAUCCCCGGGCUUAACCUGGGAACUGCAUCUGAUACUGUCAGGCUAGAGUAGGUGAGAGGGAGGUAGAAUUUCAGGUGUAGCGGUGAAAUGCGUAGAGAUCUGAAGGAAUACCGAUGGCGAAGGCAGCCUCCUGGCAUCAUACUGACACUGAGGCUCGAAAGCGUGGGUAGCAAACAGGAUUAGAUACCCUGGUAGUCCACGCCGUAAACGAUGUCUACUAGUCGUUGGGGAACUUGAUUCCUUAGUGACGCAGCUAACGCAAUAAGUAGACCGCCUGGGGAGUACGGCCGCAAGGUUAAAACUCAAAUGAAUUGACGGGGGCCGCACAAGCGGUGGAGCAUGUGGUUUAAUUCGAUGCAACGCGAAGACCUUACCUGGUCUUGACAUAUCUAGAUCCUGCAGAGAUGCGGGAGUGCUUCGGGAAUUAGAAUACAGGUGCUGCAUGGCUGUCGUCAGCUCGUGUCGUGAGAUGUUGGGUUAAGUCCCGCAACGAGCGCAACCCUUUUCCUUAGUUACCAGCGGGUUAUGCCGGGAACUCUAAGGAUACUGCCAGUGACAAACUGGAGGAAGGCGGGGACGACGUCAAGUCAUCAUGGCCCUUACGACCAGGGCUACACACGUGCUACAAUGGUAGGUACAGAGGGCAGCUACACAGCGAUGUGAUGCGAAUCUCAAAAAGCCUAUCGUAGUCCAGAUUGGAGUCUGCAACUCGACUCCAUGAAGUCGGAAUCGCUAGUAAUCGCGGAUCAGAAUGCCGCGGUGAAUACGUUCCCGGGCCUUGUACACACCGCCCGUCACACCAUGGGAGUUGAUUGCACCAGAAGUGGGUAGCCUAACUUAGGAGGGCGCUCACCACGGUGUGGUGAUGACUGGGGUGAAGUCGUAACAAGGUAGCCGUAGGGGACCUGCGGCUGGUCA